GUCGAGAAUCUUCCGCAAUGCGCGAAAGCGUGACGGAGCGACAGCGCGUGAUGGAUGAAGUCCUUCGGGGCGUAAACAUCUUUUAUAAAGGAGGAAAUUUUUGACGUUACUUUAUGAAUAAGGGGCUCCCAAUCUCGUGCCAGCAGGAGCGGUAAUACGAGAGCCUCAAGCGUUAUCCGGAAUCAUUGGGCGUAAAGGGUGCGUAGGUGGUUUGAUUAGUCUCCCGUUAAAACUUCGAGCUUAACUCGAAAAGAGCGGGGGAAACGGUCAAACUAGAGUAUGUGAGAGGUGUGUGGAACUCAUGGUGUAGGGGUGAAAUCCGUUGAUAUCAUGGGGAACACCAAAAGCGAAGGCAGCACACUGGCACAUCACUGACACUGAGGCACGAAACCUAAGGUAGCGAAUGGGAUUAGAAACCCCAGUAGUCC
This 428-nucleotide ribosomal RNA is filed under the name uncultured bacterium. RNAcentral describes it as "bacterial SSU rRNA". It matches the Rfam family "Bacterial small subunit ribosomal RNA", at positions 354 to 796 of the family's 1533-position model. The record is from RNAcentral.